UUUACCUACGGGGGGCAGCAGUGAGGAAUAUUGGUCAAUGGGCGCGAGCCUGAACCAGCCAAGUCGCGUGAGGGAGGACGGCCCUACGGGUUGUAAACCUCUUUUGCCGGGGAGCAACGGGCGUCACGUGUGGCGCCACUGAGAGUACCCGGAGAAAAAGCAUCGGCUAACUCCGUGCCAGCAGCCGCGGUAAUACGGAGGAUGCGAGCGUUAUCCGGAUUUAUUGGGUUUAAAGGGUGCGUAGGCGGAAUAUCAAGUCAGCGGUAAAAAUUCGGGGCUCAACCCCGUCGUGCCGUUGAAACUGA
RNAcentral lists this ribosomal RNA (305 nucleotides) under uncultured bacterium. RNAcentral's name for it is "bacterial SSU rRNA". It matches the Rfam family "Bacterial small subunit ribosomal RNA", at positions 334 to 636 of the family's 1533-position model. The record is from RNAcentral.